RNAcentral lists this transfer RNA (62 nucleotides) under fish gut metagenome. It matches the Rfam family "tRNA", at positions 8 to 63 of the family's 71-position model. Rfam says of the family: Transfer RNA (tRNA) molecules are approximately 80 nucleotides in length. Their secondary structure includes four short double-helical elements and three loops (D, anti-codon, and T loops). Further hydrogen bonds mediate the characteristic L-shaped molecular structure. tRNAs have two regions of fundamental functional importance: the anti-codon, which is responsible for specific mRNA codon recognition, and the 3' end, to which the tRNAs corresponding amino acid is attached (by aminoacyl-tRNA synthetases). tRNAs cope with the degeneracy of the genetic code in two manners: having more than one tRNA (with a specific anti-codon) for a particular amino acid; and 'wobble' base-pairing, i.e. permitting non-standard base-pairing at the 3rd anti-codon position. The record is from RNAcentral.
CUGUAGCUCAGCGGUAGAGCUGCGGACUUUUAAUCCGUAGGUCCUGGGUUCGAAUCCCAGUG